RNAcentral lists this ribosomal RNA (453 nucleotides) under uncultured Paludibacter sp. RNAcentral's name for it is "partial 16S ribosomal RNA". It matches the Rfam family "Bacterial small subunit ribosomal RNA", at positions 341 to 792 of the family's 1533-position model. Lineage: Bacteria; Pseudomonadati; Bacteroidota; Bacteroidia; Bacteroidales; Paludibacteraceae. The record is from RNAcentral.
ACGGGAGGCAGCAGUGAGGAAUAUUGGUCAAUGGGCGAGAGCUUGAACCAGCCAAGUCGCGUGCGGGACGAAGGCCCUACGGGUCGUAAACCGCUUUUAUACGGGAAUAAAGUGCGCCACGCGUGGCGUUUUGCAGGUACCGUAGGAAUAAGGAUCGGCUAACUCCGUGCCAGCAGCCGCGGUAAUACGGAGGAUCCGAGCGUUAUCCGGAUUUAUUGGGUUUAAAGGGUGCGUAGGCGGGACGUUAAGUCAGUGGUAAAAGCGUGUGGCUCAACCAUACCAAGCCAUUGAAACUGUCGUUCUUGAGUGUAAACGAGGUAGGCGGAAUGUGACGUGUAGCGGUGAAAUGCUUAGAUAUGUCACAGAACCCCGAUUGCGAAGGCAGCUUACCAGCAUACAACUGACGCUGAGGCACGAAAGCGUGGGUAUCAAACAGGAUUAGAUACCCUGGUA